UACGGAGGGGGCUAGCGUUGUUCGGAAUUACUGGGCGUAAAGCGCACGUAGGCGGCUUUGUAAGUCAGAGGUGAAAGCCUGGAGCUCAACUCCAGAACUGCCUUUGAUACUGCAAAUCUCGAGUCCGGAAGAGGUGAGUGGAAUUCCUAGUGUAGAGGUGAAAUUCGUAGAUAUUAGGAAGAACACCAGUGGCGAAGGCGGCUCACUGGUCCGGUACUGACGCUGAGGUGCGAAAGCGUGGGGAGCAAACAGG
Molecule: ribosomal RNA, 253 nt
Filed under: uncultured bacterium
Lineage: Bacteria
Description: partial 16S ribosomal RNA
Rfam family: Bacterial small subunit ribosomal RNA
Source: RNAcentral